AUUGAACGCUGGCGGCAGGCCUAACACAUGCAAGUCGAACGGUAACAGGAAACAGCUUGCUGUUUCGCUGACGAGUGGCGGACGGGUGAGUAAUGUCUGGGAAACUGCCUGAUGGAGGGGGAUAACUACUGGAAACGGUAGCUAAUACCGCAUAACGUCGCAAGACCAAAGAGGGGGACCUUCGGGCCUCUUGCCAUCGGAUGUGCCCAGAUGGGAUUAGCUAGUAGGUGGGGUAACGGCUCACCUAGGCGACGAUCCCUAGCUGGUCUGAGAGGAUGACCAGCCACACUGGAACUGAGACACGGUCCAGACUCCUACGGGAGGCAGCAGUGGGGAAUAUUGCACAAUGGGCGCAAGCCUGAUGCAGCCAUGCCGCGUGUAUGAAGAAGGCCUUCGGGUUGUAAAGUACUUUCAGCGGAGAUGAAGGGAGUAAAGUUAAUACCUUUGCUCAUUGACGUUACCCGCAGAAGAAGCACCGGCUAACUCCGUG
This 490-nucleotide ribosomal RNA is filed under the name uncultured bacterium. RNAcentral's name for it is "partial 16S ribosomal RNA". It matches the Rfam family "Bacterial small subunit ribosomal RNA", at positions 30 to 507 of the family's 1533-position model. The record is from RNAcentral.